RNAcentral lists this transfer RNA (82 nucleotides) under Botryobasidium botryosum FD-172 SS1. RNAcentral's name for it is "tRNA-Leu (CAA) (tRNA-Leu-CAA-1-1, tRNA-Leu-CAA-1-2)". It matches the Rfam family "tRNA". Rfam says of the family: Transfer RNA (tRNA) molecules are approximately 80 nucleotides in length. Their secondary structure includes four short double-helical elements and three loops (D, anti-codon, and T loops). Further hydrogen bonds mediate the characteristic L-shaped molecular structure. tRNAs have two regions of fundamental functional importance: the anti-codon, which is responsible for specific mRNA codon recognition, and the 3' end, to which the tRNAs corresponding amino acid is attached (by aminoacyl-tRNA synthetases). tRNAs cope with the degeneracy of the genetic code in two manners: having more than one tRNA (with a specific anti-codon) for a particular amino acid; and 'wobble' base-pairing, i.e. permitting non-standard base-pairing at the 3rd anti-codon position. Lineage: Eukaryota; Fungi; Basidiomycota; Agaricomycetes; Cantharellales; Botryobasidiaceae. The record is from RNAcentral.
GGCACAAUGGCCGAGCGGUCUAAGGCGACGCACUCAAGUUGCGUUCUCUUCGGGGGCGUGAGUUCGAAUCUCACUUGUGUCA